AAAACAAAAGGUUUAGCUGCAUCCUGUAUGUAGCCUACUUCGUUCUUAUACACUGUACCUGGGAAAAAUGAUGAUGAUCAACUGAAUAGAGGAAUGAGCAAGUGGUGAAUUCACGACUUUUGUCAUUGGGAGAGAGUUGUUGGAGCUAUUGCUUAGUGGAGGCCAUCUCAGGUCAAUUGCUCGGAUUCGAGACUAGGGGGAGAGCUACAGUGUUCUCUACAGUAUUCUCUACAGUAGUCUGUAACUUUACUUCUCCGGGAAGAUGUAUUUCCCUUAGACGCAAGUAAGGUAUAUCUAAUCCUAA
Papaver somniferum (opium poppy) is the source of this 304-nucleotide long non-coding RNA. RefSeq lists it as uncharacterized. The transcript is spliced from 3 exons. NCBI's taxonomy places the organism in Eukaryota, Viridiplantae, Streptophyta, Magnoliopsida, Ranunculales, Papaveraceae. The record is from RefSeq and is a predicted model, not a curated record.